Molecule: transfer RNA, 77 nt
Filed under: Parashewanella curva
Lineage: Bacteria; Pseudomonadati; Pseudomonadota; Gammaproteobacteria; Alteromonadales; Shewanellaceae
Also listed under: 1 other name
Description: Shewanellaceae bacterium C51 tRNA-Arg
Rfam family: tRNA
About the family: Transfer RNA (tRNA) molecules are approximately 80 nucleotides in length. Their secondary structure includes four short double-helical elements and three loops (D, anti-codon, and T loops). Further hydrogen bonds mediate the characteristic L-shaped molecular structure. tRNAs have two regions of fundamental functional importance: the anti-codon, which is responsible for specific mRNA codon recognition, and the 3' end, to which the tRNAs corresponding amino acid is attached (by aminoacyl-tRNA synthetases). tRNAs cope with the degeneracy of the genetic code in two manners: having more than one tRNA (with a specific anti-codon) for a particular amino acid; and 'wobble' base-pairing, i.e. permitting non-standard base-pairing at the 3rd anti-codon position.
Source: RNAcentral
GUCCCGGUAACUCAGGUGGAUAGAGUGUCGGCCUCCUAAGCCGAAAGCCGCAGGUUCGAAUCCUGCUCGGGACACCA